GGGGAUGAUCUGGAUUCGACGUUGAUUACAAAGCUAUGGGUGCAUGCCGAGAGCCGUACGAUGAUCUCGUAAAUAAACGUUGUACAUUUAAACUAGUCGCAAACGACGAAACUUACGCACUGGCGGCUUAAGCCCGCCUACCUCUGAACCCGGGUUCCUGUAACCGGGGGACGAGGGCGCAGCCCUACAGGAUCGACCGGCGGCUUCGCUCGGAGGCAAUGGUCUAAAACUAAUCGAGCUCGUUCCGAACGGCCUGUCUCUCGGCCCGUGACGAACUAAAUGAAUAGAGAAGACUAAGCAUGUAGAUCCUCUAGUGGAGGAUUGGCGGACGCGGGUUCAAAUCCCGCCAUCUCCACCA
Molecule: transfer-messenger RNA, 358 nt
Filed under: Pseudomonadales
Lineage: Bacteria; Pseudomonadati; Pseudomonadota; Gammaproteobacteria
Also listed under: 3 other names
Description: Oleibacter sp002298335 Standard tmRNA
Rfam family: transfer-messenger RNA
About the family: Bacterial tmRNA, also known as 10Sa RNA or SsrA, is named for its dual tRNA and mRNA-like properties. Its role is to liberate the mRNA from a stalled ribosome. To accomplish this part of the tmRNA is used as a reading frame that ends in a translation stop signal.
Source: RNAcentral